GAUGAAGAACGUAGCGAAAUGCGAUAAGUAAUGUGAAUUGCAGAAUUCAGUGAAUCAUCGAGUCUUUGAACGCACAUUGCGCCCCCUGGUAUUCCGGGGGGCAUGCCUGUCCGAGCGUCAUUGCUGCCCCCAAGCACGGCUUGUGUGUUGGGCCGUCGUCCCCCUCCUAGGGGACGGGCCCGAAAGGCAGCGGCGGCACCGCGUCCGGUCCUCGAGCGUAUGGGGCUUCGUCACCCGCUCCGUAGGCCCGGCCGGCGCUUGCCGACGACCAUCAAUCUCUUUCUCCAGGUUGACCUCGGAUCAGGUAGGGAUACCCGCUGAACUUAAGCAUAUCAAUAAGCGGAGGA
This 347-nucleotide unclassified non-coding RNA is filed under the name soil metagenome. Its description in RNAcentral is "partial contains 5.8S ribosomal RNA, internal transcribed spacer 2, and large subunit ribosomal RNA". The stretch from base 1 to 120 matches the Rfam family "5.8S ribosomal RNA", at positions 35 to 154 of the family's 154-position model. The record is from RNAcentral.